Cannabis sativa is the source of this 91-nucleotide small nucleolar RNA. RefSeq annotates it as small nucleolar RNA snoR20a. The transcript has a single exon. The record is from RefSeq and is a predicted model, not a curated record. Lineage: Eukaryota; Viridiplantae; Streptophyta; Magnoliopsida; Rosales; Cannabaceae.
GCCAGUGAUGCGAUUCAAUAUUGAGACUGAAAGUGCAGAGUGACAAACUUUGUAUAAAUGUCGAUAUUUAUGAACUAGGACGGUCUGAGGC